GGACCCAUGGCGCAACGGUAGCGCGUCAGAUUCCAGUAGCAGUUGGGGUAACAUCCUCCACGGGAAACCGGAAGUUCCUGAAGGUUAAGUGUUCAAAUCACUUUGGGUUCA
Cephalotrichum gorgonifer is the source of this 111-nucleotide non-coding RNA. The record is from the annotation of a GenBank genome assembly. NCBI's taxonomy places the organism in Eukaryota, Fungi, Ascomycota, Sordariomycetes, Microascales, Microascaceae.